This 3932-nucleotide long non-coding RNA is filed under the name Capsicum annuum. Its description in RNAcentral is "long non-coding RNA (CANN_LNC011368)". Lineage: Eukaryota; Viridiplantae; Streptophyta; Magnoliopsida; Solanales; Solanaceae. The record is from RNAcentral.
ACUGGUACUUGGAUCUACACCAAAAGGUACAGAAGUGCAGUAUGAGUACCAAAGCCAUGUGUGCUUAGUAGGCAUCAUUGGCUAACUGAGCUAAAUCAUAAUAUAAGAAUAAUAAAAUGCAAGAUAAAUAAACUAAGUCAAGGUAAGAGGUAAAAUCUAGAAUAAUGCUCCAUAUACUAUAAAUGAAUAACCAGAACAACAAUAAUAUGAGAAAGGAUAACUAUUACUACAAACUAUCCCCAUUAGCCAGUAAGUAUGGGAAAGUAAAUAACACAACAUAAGCCCCCAAAAUCCCGAAAGAUGCAAUCAAAAGAAAAAUAAUAACUGAAUUUAUACCAAAUAUCCAAAUCUUAAAAUCAUAACCAUGAAUCCUUCCAUACCAAAAUCAUAACCAUGAACCGGUUCUAUAACCAUCAUAAACAACCUCUCAAUAUCGGACUUGAAUCAAAACUCAUCUCAUUAUUUGUCGAACUUGAACCAAAACUCAAUAUCAUCAUUUAUCGAACUUGAACCAAAAUUAAUACCAUCACCCCAAGUAUCAAUAUAGAAUAAAACAUCUUAAAUCCAACCUUCUCAGCUCUAGAAUCUUUAUUUGGAAGAUGUAACAUGCCUAUAAAUUCUAUAAAGAGCUAGUAGUCUUGGCCUAAGAUGGGUCGGAAAGGCCCACUUCUAAUUCUCAAAAUUCAUUCUAAGGAAAAUCCUACCCUAGACUAGUCUAAGGUAUCUAAAUUCGCUACUAAAUAUUAAAUAAGUCAUAUUUAGUCCUAAGAUAGAAAAUUACCUAAAGAUAGACAAGCUAAGUCAAUUAGGGCAAAUUUACUGCUCCUUAAUCGGCGAAGACAUCCCAAUUACACAAAAUAUAUUUCCAAGACUUAAUUCCCAACCCAUAUCUAGCACAUCAUCGUAAAUAUACUACAAAUUAACCAAAUCUAUGAGAAAGAUAAACCUAGACUACUUGGACACCAAAGAAAGCGUGGUGAAUUCCGCUAAAUAAAUGAUUUCCUAUUUUGUGAAGCUUUUGCAUGAUACUAUGCUAUCAAAAUGAUAAUCUACUCAUCAAUACAAGAACAAUAGUACCCAUAUUGCACUUUUAUGCUUUGAGUCCAAAAUUAUGUAUAAUCCCAUGUAGGGCUUGCUUGUGGGAUCACACUUUUGAAACCAUAAACAUGUGCCUCUAUGAUCAAGAAAUAUUUUCCCUUAAGAACAGGUAAAUUUCAAGCUCAAAUGAUCUUAUAAUCCAAGUAAUGCUUAAGCGAACAGUAGGCCUCUUAAACGGUCGCUACUUAAGCAACCAAGUACUUCUUAAGCGGUACCCACCCAUGCCAGUGCCCUUCGCUUAAGUACUUUGGAUAUGAGUAAUUCCAAAAAAAAGGCUUUGUCCAGCAGUUGACAAAGAUCUUUCUAUCAAUAGAAAGAAAUGAGUUUUCGAUAUAGGGGAUAGGAUCUAUCCCCUAUAUUCUCACAAUUUUUUUGUGAGAAAUAUAUAUAUAUAUUUUUCUGUCAUUGAUUCUGAAGUCCAAUUUUUGGGUUCCCCGAAUGGAAUGGAUCAUUUCUGCAAGCGAAAUAAACACGGAGCCCAUUUCGAAUUCUUCUACAAUCCGAAAGUUCUCACAAAGAGAAUAAGAUGAUGCUCCCUUUGCCUCUUUCUUUUCCCACUUUGCUAAUUUUCUCCUCUAAUAUGGUGGUGUUGGGUGUGGGAGAAAGAAACCUAAGAUAAGACGCUCACCUCUUAGGUUUUUUUUCACUGCAACAUAGGAAAGCCCCCUUAUUUUUUCAUCCCUACAACUUUCCAGAUUUUGUAUUGAAUACAUGGCAUAGCUAGGAACCUUCACAUUAUGUUUGAGCCUAUGUUCAAGAAAAAACCAUACCCUAUUUACUAAGGCUGGAAAAAAUGUCCACCAAGUUUAGAUAGGGAAUGUUUUCCCCUACCAUUAAGUAAAGGCUCAACAAAAGGAGGGAGGUGAGGCAGGGGAAGGAAAACCUUUCAGAGAUCGAGAUUUUUUCAUUAAAAUCGAAGAAUAACGGCUGCUUAAGCGAAAGGGCCUCACUUAAGCAGCCCUCAGCGAGUCAAGCCUGGUCGCUUAAGUGACCGGCUAGCCUCUUAAGCGGCCUCUACUUAAGCGACCCAAGUGGCACUUAAGAGGAUUCAUCAGUUGAGUGGUGUAGUUGGGGACUUGGAGAAUUCCAAGUCUCUACCGACCCCUCGUUAUUCAUUUGAAAUCUCGUAAAUACAAACUAACUGUGCCACUCUAUCAAAUUUGAUGUUCAGAACUUAAUGACACAGUUGAAAUUUUCAUUUGAGGUUAUUUCAACAAAAAAUGGGUCCCACAACCAUAGGCCAGUUUUAUCAAUUUUUGGUCAAUAGCCCAGAAUGAGUUCGAAAUCCUUAGGACCCAAACCAAAGGUAAUCAAUGUUUUGGAGUUAUUGGAACUAUCAGAAUUAGCAUACGAGUUUGUUUGACUUAUUUUUUUUCCCAUAGCCAGUUUAUCAACUAAGACUUUAAAAUAGGAACUUGGCUCUAAAAACCAAAUAAACUGCCCGGUAAUCGAACUGUAAGCUCUAGCAAGUCAUAAAUGACUUGGGCAGCUGUAGGAAAGCUCUAAAUAGCGAAAAUAUAGAAAUUGACCUGGUGGGUCAUUACAUAAACCUACUUUUCAAAAUUGUCCAAGUUUAAAAGCUUCAAACCCUUCAAUGCUAACUUCACUCCUACACCCCCAAAUCAAAUCAAAUACAAGAUUUAGGCUCAAAAAAUACUAUGGAAUCAAUAUCUUGUAUUAAAAACAACAAACCAAAAGAAAAUGUUUUUCAGAUUUUUUUGAAAUUUUUGGAUGAUUUUUUAUAAAAUUUUUGAAGAGAUCAAAAUCUCAAGAUUUAGAUUUGUGAAAACAAACCUAAAACUAGUCUCUUGAUACCAAAAUAAUAAGAAAGAAAGAAAGAAAGAAAAUGAAGAAACGAAAUAUGUGGGUUAAUACCUAAGCUACUGAAAUUAUAGGUAACAAGAGAUUAAAACCCUCACCUCCCAAUUGAUUUCAACAACUCAAACACAAACCCUGACAUGAAAAAUCAAAGGAAACUAGAUCCACCUAUGGAAAAUCUUUGAUUAAUCAAGCUAAAUAAGUUCACCCAUAAUUCAAGGGUCAACUAAUAAGUACCCAGUUAUUACUCACUAAAUUAUUCACUAAAUUUCUUAAGGGAAUUUGUUAAGAGAAACUACAACUUUUCAAAGUUCAAAUCUACCAUGCCAACAAAAAAAAUCCUUUUUUUACUAAAGGAAUUAAGAAGGCAUUGGCUUUUCAUAAUAUUGCCCUUAAUUAGGAAAGAACCUUGUUUUGUUGUCUUCUUAUGGAUUCUUGAAUUUAAGAAGUAGUCACUUGCACAAAUGGUCCCUUCUCCUCCUCUUCUUCAUUUUUAUUGAUCUUCCACACAUUGUAUGUCUUCCUUUGACAUCCUUCAAACUCCUCCAAAGUUUUCUUCCUCACAAACAUUGCUUGUAGGUCUUGGGCCUCUUUUGCUUGACUACGGGUGAAUUGUAUUGAAGGGUAAUAUAUAAAUCCGUGCUAGUUUUGGGUUUAAGAUAACUUGAAUGAACAAAUCAAAAGAAAUUGUAAGAGAAUGAAUUUUGUUUCCAUUCCAAUCUGAUACUCUUUCUUAUGUUAGUAUCACUUCUCAAUCUAUGUAAAAUUUUAAGAAAGAACCUUGUGAAGUGGAUGACGGUACCUUAUUUAAAGAAGAAACUAACGAUGGCCAAGUUUUUAAAGUGUACAUUAACACAUUAUGGAAAGAAAUAAGAGAAAACUUUAAAGUAUUCUCUGAUGCCUUAUGGUUUGUGAGCAUUAAUGGAAAAGUUGUUAUUGAAGACAAUGAGACAAACAAAGCUUUUGAUACCAUAAAUAUUGAGAACACUAAGCUAAAUAAUGAGUGUAAUAUCCCA